This 500-nucleotide ribosomal RNA is filed under the name uncultured bacterium. RNAcentral describes it as "partial 16S ribosomal RNA". It matches the Rfam family "Bacterial small subunit ribosomal RNA", at positions 30 to 523 of the family's 1533-position model. The record is from RNAcentral.
AUUGAACGCUGGCGGCAUGCCUUACACAUGCAAGUCGAACAGCUGCACGGGAGCAAUCCUGGUGGCGAGUGGCGAACGGGUGAGUAAUAUAUCGGAACGUGCCCAGUCGUGGGGGAUAACGUAGCGAAAGCUACGCUAAUACCGCAUACGAUCUAUGGAUGAAAGCGGGGGAUCGCAAGACCUCGCGCGAUUGGAGCGGCCGAUAUCAGAUUAGGUAGUUGGUGAGGUAAAGGCUCACCAAGCCGACGAUCUGUAGCUGGUCUGAGAGGACGACCAGCCACACUGGGACUGAGACACGGCCCAGACUCCUACGGGAGGCAGCAGUGGGGAAUUUUGGACAAUGGGCGCAAGCCUGAUCCAGCAAUGCCGCGUGCAGGAUGAAGGCCUUCGGGUUGUAAACUGCUUUUGUACGGAACGAAACGGCGAGCUCUAAUACAGUUUGCUAAUGACGGUACCGUAAGAAUAAGCACCGGCUAACUACGUGCCAGCAGCCGCAGUAA